UGGACCAUCAGGGAAGUCCAGGACAUCCAGUCUUGACUGGUCUUUGUUAUUUUAUCUUUGUGCCUUCCUUCAGACACAUUACACUCUGGGAGUACAGAUCCAAGAUAAUAGCUUGUGCCUGACAGUGCUCGGAAUAUGAAAUGAGAAGAUGGAACCAAGAAUGAAAUGUGCCAGCAGAUGAAGGCUUUGCUGAUGUAGACUUGUGUCUGUAAGGCAUGGAGAAUUUUACCUGGAUUGUGUCAUUCAAGAUGGUUCCUAUGGGCUAUACUGAUGGGCAACCAGCUGAUUCUAGCAGUCCUAACAGUCAGCUACAAUCGCCAAUGUCCUGGUUGAAGAAGCUGAUUGAAUCCAUGUCUUUCCACGUCGUGUUUUCUGUCAUGGCCAGCAACAAGAAAAAGCUGUUUCGGUUCAGGCCCAAGACCACCAUAAU
Molecule: long non-coding RNA, 430 nt
Organism: Hippopotamus amphibius kiboko
Lineage: Eukaryota; Metazoa; Chordata; Mammalia; Artiodactyla; Hippopotamidae
Exons: 3
Source: RefSeq, a predicted model, not a curated record